GUGCUCACUUCAGCAGCACGUAUUAUAAAAUUGGAAUGAUACACAGAAGAUUAGCAUGGCCUUUGCACAAAAAAGACAUGCAAAUUCAUGAAGCAUUCCAUACAUUU
Molecule: small nuclear RNA, 107 nt
Organism: Choloepus didactylus (southern two-toed sloth)
Lineage: Eukaryota; Metazoa; Chordata; Mammalia; Pilosa; Megalonychidae
Source: RefSeq, a predicted model, not a curated record